UUAACACAUGCAAGUCGAACGAACCUUCGGGUUAGUGGCGGACGGGUGAGUAACGCGUGAGAAUCUGCCCUCAGGAGGGGGAUAACGGCUGGAAACGGCCGCUAAUACCCCAUAUGCCGAGAGGUGAAAUGAAUUUCCCCUGAGGAUGAACUCGCGUCUGAUUAGCUAGUUGGUGGGGUAAAGGCCUACCAAGGCUUCCAUCAAUAACUGGUCUGAAAGGAUGAUCAACCACACUGGGACUGAAACACGGCCCAGACUCCUACCGGAGGCAGCAGUGGGGAAUUUUCCGCAAUGGGCGAAAGCCUGACGGAACAACGCCCCGUGAGGGAUGAAGGCCUCUGGGCUGUAAACCUCUUUUAUCAAGGAAGAAAAUCUGACGGUACUUGAUGAAUAAACCACGGCUAAUUCCNUGCCANCAGCCCCNGGG
Molecule: ribosomal RNA, 427 nt
Filed under: uncultured bacterium
Lineage: Bacteria
Description: bacterial SSU rRNA
Rfam family: Bacterial small subunit ribosomal RNA
Source: RNAcentral